This is a ribosomal RNA of Schizosaccharomyces cryophilus OY26, 119 nucleotides long. NCBI's taxonomy places the organism in Eukaryota, Fungi, Ascomycota, Schizosaccharomycetes, Schizosaccharomycetales, Schizosaccharomycetaceae. The record is from Rfam.
GUCUACGGCCAUACCUAGGCGAAAACACCAAUUCCCGUCCGAUCACUGCAGUUAAGCGUCUGAGGGCCUCGUUAGUACUAUGGUUGGAGACAACAUGGGAAUCCGAGGUGCUGUAGGCU